RNAcentral lists this ribosomal RNA (1554 nucleotides) under Escherichia coli. Its description in RNAcentral is "bacterial SSU rRNA". It matches the Rfam family "Bacterial small subunit ribosomal RNA". The record is from RNAcentral. RNAcentral also lists the same sequence under 5 other names. Lineage: Bacteria; Pseudomonadati; Pseudomonadota; Gammaproteobacteria; Enterobacterales; Enterobacteriaceae.
AAAUUGAAGAGUUUGAUCAUGGCUCAGAUUGAACGCUGGCGGCAGGCCUAACACAUGCAAGUCGAACGGUAACAGGAAACAGCUUGCUGUUUCGCUGACGAGUGGCGGACGGGUGAGUAAUGUCUGGGAAACUGCCUGAUGGAGGGGGAUAACUACUGGAAACGGUAGCUAAUACCGCAUAACGUCGCAAGACCAAAGAGGGGGACCUUCGGGCCUCUUGCCAUCGGAUGUGCCCAGAUGGGAUUAGCUUGUUGGUGGGGUAACGGCUCACCAAGGCGACGAUCCCUAGCUGGUCUGAGAGGAUGACCAGCCACACUGGAACUGAGACACGGUCCAGACUCCUACGGGAGGCAGCAGUGGGGAAUAUUGCACAAUGGGCGCAAGCCUGAUGCAGCCAUGCCGCGUGUAUGAAGAAGGCCUUCGGGUUGUAAAGUACUUUCAGCGGGGAGGAAGGGAGUAAAGUUAAUACCUUUGCUCAUUGACGUUACCCGCAGAAGAAGCACCGGCUAACUCCGUGCCAGCAGCCGCGGUAAUACGGAGGGUGCAAGCGUUAAUCGGAAUUACUGGGCGUAAAGCGCACGCAGGCGGUUUGUUAAGUCAGAUGUGAAAUCCCCGGGCUCAACCUGGGAACUGCAUCUGAUACUGGCAAGCUUGAGUCUCGUAGAGGGGGGUAGAAUUCCAGGUGUAGCGGUGAAAUGCGUAGAGAUCUGGAGGAAUACCGGUGGCGAAGGCGGCCCCCUGGACGAAGACUGACGCUCAGGUGCGAAAGCGUGGGGAGCAAACAGGAUUAGAUACCCUGGUAGUCCACGCCGUAAACGAUGUCGACUUGGAGGUUGUGCCCUUGAGGCGUGGCUUCCGGAGCUAACGCGUUAAGUCGACCGCCUGGGGAGUACGGCCGCAAGGUUAAAACUCAAAUGAAUUGACGGGGGCCCGCACAAGCGGUGGAGCAUGUGGUUUAAUUCGAUGCAACGCGAAGAACCUUACCUGGUCUUGACAUCCACAGAACUUUCCAGAGAUGGAUUGGUGCCUUCGGGAACUGUGAGACAGGUGCUGCAUGGCUGUCGUCAGCUCGUGUUGUGAAAUGUUGGGUUAAGUCCCGCAACGAGCGCAACCCUUAUCCUUUGUUGCCAGCGGUCCGGCCGGGAACUCAAAGGAGACUGCCAGUGAUAAACUGGAGGAAGGUGGGGAUGACGUCAAGUCAUCAUGGCCCUUACGACCAGGGCUACACACGUGCUACAAUGGCGCAUACAAAGAGAAGCGACCUCGCGAGAGCAAGCGGACCUCAUAAAGUGCGUCGUAGUCCGGAUUGGAGUCUGCAACUCGACUCCAUGAAGUCGGAAUCGCUAGUAAUCGUGGAUCAGAAUGCCACGGUGAAUACGUUCCCGGGCCUUGUACACACCGCCCGUCACACCAUGGGAGUGGGUUGCAAAAGAAGUAGGUAGCUUAACCUUCGGGAGGGCGCUUACCACUUUGUGAUUCAUGACUGGGGUGAAGUCGUAACAAGGUAACCGUAGGGGAACCUGCGGUUGGAUCACCUCCUUACCUUAAAGAAGC